Caenorhabditis elegans is the source of this 208-nucleotide small nucleolar RNA. The record is from Ensembl. NCBI's taxonomy places the organism in Eukaryota, Metazoa, Nematoda, Chromadorea, Rhabditida, Rhabditidae.
GUAUCGAGCCUGCUUACAUAGUCAGAAGCACAGUGGUCGUAUUUGUAUUUACAUAUUGGCUUAAGUUGUCUAUUUGGAUUAUAGUUUUGUUAACAUAUGUCUUCUUCAGCACUGGCACUGGCCUUAAUAUUGUUAACUAGCUCAUUAACAGGGAAUAGCGCCAGUGAGGAUUUUGCCUGAAUACACCAAAUGACAUAAUAAAACACUU